CACACGCGGCAUUGCUGGAUCAGGCUUGCGCCCAUUGUCCAAAAUUCCCCACUGCUGCCUCCCGUAGGAGUCUGGGCCGUGUCUCAGUCCCAGUGUGGCUGGUCGUCCUCUCAGACCAGCUACGGAUCGUCGCCUUGGUGAGCCUUUACCCCACCAACUAGCUAAUCCGCCAUCGGCCACCCCAAUAGCGCGAGGUCUUGCGAUCCCCCGCUUUCAUCCUAAGAUCGUAUGCGGUAUUAAUCCGGCUUUCGCC
RNAcentral lists this ribosomal RNA (253 nucleotides) under Burkholderia sp. STW8-4. RNAcentral describes it as "partial 16S ribosomal RNA". Lineage: Bacteria; Pseudomonadati; Pseudomonadota; Betaproteobacteria; Burkholderiales; Burkholderiaceae. The record is from RNAcentral.